RNAcentral lists this microRNA (22 nucleotides) under Callorhinchus milii (elephant shark). Its description in RNAcentral is "eshark_NOVEL_59". Lineage: Eukaryota; Metazoa; Chordata; Chondrichthyes; Chimaeriformes; Callorhinchidae. The record is from RNAcentral.
UGCGGAAUACCCGCUUAACUCA